UCUGGUUCAGGACGAACGCUGGCGGCGUGCCUAAUACAUGCAAGUCGAGCGAAUGACAAGGAGCUUGCUCCUUGAUUAGCGGCGGACGGGUGAGUAACACGUGGGUAACCUACCCUAUAGACUGGGAUAACUUCGGGAAACCGGAGCUAAUACCGGAUAAUACUUUCGAACACAUGUUCGAAAGUUGAAAGAUGGUUUCGGCUAUCACUAUAGGAUGGACCCGCGGCGCAUUAGCUAGUUGGUGGGGUAACGGCUCACCAAGGCAACGAUGCGUAGCCGACCUGAGAGGGUGAUCGGCCACACUGGGACUGAGACACGGCCCAGACUCCUACGGGAGGCAGCAGUAGGGAAUCUUCCACAAUGGACGAAAGUCUGAUGGAGCAACGCCGCGUGAGUGAAGAAGGAUUUCGGUUCGUAAAACUCUGUUGCAAGGGAAGAACAAGUAGCGUAGUAACUGGCGCUACCUUGACGGUACCUUGUUAGAAAGCCACGGCUAACUACGUGCCAGCCGCUGC
Molecule: ribosomal RNA, 515 nt
Filed under: uncultured bacterium
Lineage: Bacteria
Description: bacterial SSU rRNA
Rfam family: Bacterial small subunit ribosomal RNA
Source: RNAcentral